UAGCAUGCGGGUGCUAUACAUGCAGUCGAGCGAACUGAUUAGAAGCUUGCUUCUAUGACGUUAGCGGCGGACGGGUGAGUAACACGUGGGCAACCUGCCUGUAAGACUGGGAUAACUCCGGGAAACCGGAGCUAAUACCGGAUAACAUUUUUUCUUGCAUAAGAGAAAAUUGAAAGAUGGUUUCGGCUAUCACUUACAGAUGGGCCCGCGGUGCAUUAGCUAGUUGGUGAGGUAACGGCUCACCAAGGCAACGAUGCAUAGCCGACCUGAGAGGGUGAUCGGCCACACUGGGACUGAGACACGGCCCAGACUCCUACGGGAGGCAGCAGUAGGGAAUCUUCCGCAAUGGACGAAAGUCUGACGGAGCAACGCCGCGUGAGUGAUGAAGGCUUUCGGGUCGUAAAACUCUGUUGUUAGGGAAGAACAAGUACAAGAGUAACUGCUUGUACCUUGACGGUACCUAACCAGAAAGCCACGGCUAACUACGUGCCAGCAGCCGCGGUAAUACGUAGGUGGCAAGCGUUAUCCGGAAUUAUUGGGCGUAAAGCGCGCGCAGGCGGUUUCUUAAGUCUGAUGUGAAAGCCCACGGCUCAACCGUGGAGGGUCAUUGGAAACUGGGGAACUUGAGUGCAGAAGAGAAAAGCGGAAUUCCACGUGUAGCGGUGAAAUGCGUAGAGAUGUGGAGGAACACCAGUGGCGAAGGCGGCUUUUUGGUCUGUAACUGACGCUGAGGCGCGAAAGCGUGGGGGGGAGCAAACAGGAUUAGAUACGGUAGUCCACGCCGUAAACGAUGAGUGCUAAGUGUUAGAGGGUUUCCGCCCUUUAGUGCUGCAGCUAACGCAUUAAGCACUCCGCCUGGGGAGUACGGUCGCAAGACUGAAACUCAAAGGAAUUGACGGGGGCCCGCACAAGCGGUGGAGCAUGUGGUUUAAUUCGAAGCAACGCGAAGAACCUUACCAGGUCUUGACAUCCUCUGACAACUCUAGAGAUAGAGCGUUCCCCUUCGGGGGACAGAGUGACAGGUGGUGCAUGGUUGUCGUCAGCUCGUGUCGUGAGAUGUUGGGUUAAGUCCCGCAACGAGCGCAACCCUUGAUCUUAGUUGCCAGCAUUAAGUUGGGCACUCUAAGGUGACUGCCGGUGACAAACCGGAGGAAGGUGGUGUGGAUGACGUCAAAUCAUCAUGCCCCUUACCUGGGCUACACACGUGCUACAAGUUGGAUGGUACAAAGGGCUGCAAGACCGCGAGGUCAAGCCAAUCCCAAAACCAUUCUCAGUUCGGAUUGUAGGCUGCAACUCGCCUACAUGAAGCUGGAAUCGCUAGUAAUCGCGGAUCAGCAUGCCGCGGUGAAUACGUUCCCGGGCCUUGUACACACCGCCCGUCACACCACGAGAGUUUGUAACACCCGAAGUCGGUGGGGUAACCUUUAUGGAGCCAGCCGCCUAAGGUGACAGAGUGG
Molecule: ribosomal RNA, 1457 nt
Filed under: Bacillus sp. B27
Lineage: Bacteria; Bacillati; Bacillota; Bacilli; Caryophanales; Bacillaceae
Description: bacterial SSU rRNA
Rfam family: Bacterial small subunit ribosomal RNA
Source: RNAcentral